GUGUUGGGUUGGCUUCGGGCGAGCCGCAGCGCACGCCUCCUUGUAUCGAUUGUGCGCGUCUCAGUGCGCACGUUGCUACAUACAGAGCUCGCCAGGGCGUCCACUCUCCCGCUGUAGUCAUGCGCGAAUCUCCUCCGCCAUCGCAUCGACCGAAAUAAGAGUUGGAUUAAACGCGCGAUUGUCGCGGUCGAGCUCGGCGGUCUCGGCAGAUUUACGUACACGCCCCGCCGCCGCCGCCGCCGGGUCUGGCUCGACAUUCCUCCAUGUGUGACCGGAUUACCUUCCAAAAAUCGAUUGGGGAAGGUGCUGCGGGCCGCGCUGUGGCUAUGGGCUGGAGCUAAUCGUUUCGGCAAGGUGGAUGAGGACUGGCGAAUUUGCGAAUCACUUACCCCGUCUGCGGCGCCACCGUUAGUCCUAGGAAACACCAUCAGACACAAUGUCGUUGAAUAAAUUGCCAUCGCUCGUAGUCAAAUGACAAUAACUAGAAUAAAGUGCCGGGAGCGCUCAUGAGACAGUCGUGCCAUCGUCUGCUUGAGCACCAACAGGCCGGGGGAGACGAACCUCCGCUUUACUCACCAGUAGACCAAAUUUCAGUGGUACCGGAACAUGUGGGCCGCGAGGCCGGCGGCAAGCUGACACGAUAUGCGCCGACGGAGGAAGACGAGGCGACACUCAGGGAACUUCUUCUUAGCCUUCAGAGACAGGUGAGCGUGAUGAGUAUGAAUCUUUCCGCCAAGCUGGACGAGUUACAGCGUGGCGACCGACAGCUCGAAACCACAGUCGCUCUAUGCGAGAUCCGCACGCAACUCCAAGAACUCACCAAGAGUGUUGAAUCAUGUCAAAGCGAGGUAUCUGAGGUAAAACGAGACAUGGUUGCCAUCAAGCAAGAACUAGAUACUGUGCAGCAGGUGAAGGAAGAAAUCGAGGAGUUGCGAGAGUAUGUGGAUAGACUUGAAGAGCAUACUCAAAGGAGGAAACUGAGACUUCUUGAGCAAGGCUUAACAUUCUUCCUGUCCUAUGCCAUCUUAGCCGCAGUCCUCGGUAUGCUGCAAUUCGGUUACAACACUGGCGUCAUCAACGCUCCUGGCAGAAACAUCGAGAACUUUAUGAAGGACGUUUACAAGGACCGUUACGGCAAGGAUAUCCAGGAUGAUGCCGUCAAUACGUUGUAUUCCAUCGCAGUGAGCAUCUUUGCAAUUGGUGGAAUGCUUGGCGGUUUCUCGGGUGGAAUGAUCGCAAAUCGAUUUGGAAGGAAAGGUGGAUUAUUGCUCAAUAACAUUCUUGGAAUUAGCGGCGCGAGUCUUAUGGGAUUCACAAAGAUAUCGCAUUGCUAUGAAAUGCUCUUCUUCGGUAGAUUCAUCAUUGGAGUCAAUUGCGGGCUAAAUACGUCAUUAGUGCCAAUGUACAUAUCUGAGAUUGCGCCUUUAAACCUUCGCGGUGGACUGGGCACGGUAAAUCAGCUAGCUGUCACUGUAGGUCUGCUUCUAUCUCAAGUUCUUGGCAUCGAACAAAUACUUGGCACCGAUGAGGGCUGGCCUAUACUUCUGGGUUUGGCGGUAUGCCCAGCUAUUUUGCAACUUUUGCUCUUACCUGCUUGUCCUGAAUCUCCUCGCUAUCUGCUUAUCACACGCCAAUGGGAAGAAGAAGCACGACGGGCAUUGAGAAGAUUACGAGCUAGCAACCAAGUGGAGGAAGAUAUAGAAGAGAUGCGUGCUGAAGAAAGAGCUCAACAGGCAGAAGCGUCGAUAUCAAUGAGAGAGCUACUGUGUUCCCCUACUCUUCGCGCCCCUCUACUCAUUGGUGUCGUGAUGCAACUAUCGCAACAGCUCAGCGGAAUUAAUGCGGUGUUCUACUACUCAACGUCUCUGUUCACUUCGUCGGGUCUUACGGAAGAGUCAGCGAAGUUCGCAACAAUGGGUAUCGGCGCUAUUAUGGUAGGAAUGACCCUGGUCUCCUUACCACUCAUGGAUCGCACUGGACGCCGAACCCUUCAUCUUUACGGCCUUGGGGGAAUGUUUAUCUUCUCUAUAUUCAUCACCAUCUCAUUCUUAAUAAAGGAGUUUUUCGGCUAUGUACAGGAAAUGAUAGACUGGAUGAGCUACCUGUCCGUGGUGUCAACGCUAAGCUUCGUAGUGUUCUUCGCUGUGGGGCCUGGUUCGAUUCCUUGGUUAAUCACUGCCGAACUCUUCUCACAAGGACCUAGGCCGAGCGCAAUGGCAAUCGCCGUUUUAGUAAAUUGGAUGGCCAAUUUCGUAGUUGGAAUCGGCUUUCCGAGCAUGAAGGCCCUACUGGAAAACUAUACAUUCCUGCCUUUUAGUGUAUUCCUUGCAAUUUUUUGGAUAUUUACGUAUAAAAAAGUUCCUGAAACAAAAAACAAGACCUUUGAGGAGAUAUUAGCGUUGUUCCGAAAUUCAAACGGCAGCGCGGAAAUCUAUGAAAACAAACUGGACAGUUUUCGCGACAGCCGACUCUAUGGAAGCAUGAUGAAUUGUGUGAACGCUUUGGAGCAACAGCUGCCGCCGCCGCCACCACCUGCCCCCAUCGAUGAAAAACAUGAUUCACUGUCAGAACAGUCGUCAGCUGGCGGGGAAGCGGGACGGCCGCCUCCGCCGCUACCGCCGCCGAGGUUCCCGACGCCGGGCAACGUCUGACAAUGGGAGACCACUGCGCGUGCGCCCCUCGUUGCGCCGAUCAAGGCCGCCGCCAACUUCUUGUUUCAUGGACUCAAGCGCCAAGCGUCGGUGACUGGACGCAAGAUGCACGGAUGGCGCAUUUAUUGGAAGCCAAGCUCCAUCGCUAGUAAACUACAUAGACCCUUAAACUCUUCUAAGCACUAUCCACAGUUUUUACCACAACUACUUAUCUGUUUUCUUUAAUUUUCAUUACGGUGAUUACCCCGUAAUUGUACAAAAGGAACUUGUAAAAUUUUAUUGGAACUAAUACUUGUUAUAAAAACAUU
Pieris brassicae (large cabbage white) is the source of this 2959-nucleotide RNA transcript. It is a transcript of the gene named glucose transporter type 1, with no coding region annotated. The record is from RefSeq and is a predicted model, not a curated record. The transcript has 19 exons. Lineage: Eukaryota; Metazoa; Arthropoda; Insecta; Lepidoptera; Pieridae.